UACAGAGGUCCCGAGCGUUGUUCGGAUUUAUUGGGCGUAAAGGGUGCGUAGGCGGCGGAGUAAGUUGGGUGUGAAAUCCCGGGGCUUAACCUCGGAAUUGCAUUCAAUACUGCUUCGCUAGAGUACUGGAGAGGAGGCUGGAAUUUACGGUGUAGCAGUGAAAUGCGCAGAUAUCAGGAAGAACACCCGUGGCUAAGGCGGCUCUCUAGUACGGUACUGACGCUGAGACGCGAAAGCGUGGGGAGCGAACAGG
This 253-nucleotide ribosomal RNA is filed under the name uncultured bacterium. RNAcentral's name for it is "partial 16S ribosomal RNA". It matches the Rfam family "Bacterial small subunit ribosomal RNA", at positions 524 to 776 of the family's 1533-position model. The record is from RNAcentral.